AGACAAUAGAUACCCGGGUAGUCCACGCCGUAAACUAUGGAUGCUAGCUGUUAGAGGUAUCGACCCCUCUAGUAGCGAAAGCUAACGCGUUAAGCAUCCCGCCUGUGGAGUACGGUCGCAAGACUAAACAUAAAGGAAUUGACGGGGACCCGCACAAGCGGUGGAGCGUGUUGUUUAAUUCGAUGGUAAGCGAAGAACCUUACCCAGGCUUGACAUCCUUGGAAUUUUGGCGAAAGCCGAGAGUGCCUUCGGGAACCAAGUGACAGGUGUUGCAUGGCCGUCGUCAGCUCGUGUCGUGAGAUGUUUGGUUAAGUCCAUCAACGAGCGCAACCCUUAUAGUUAGUUGAAUUUUUCUAGCUAGACUGCCCUGGCAACAGGGAGGAAGGAGGGGAUGAUGUCAGGUCAGUAUUACCCUUACGUCUGGGGCUACAAACACGCUACAAUGGCCGGUACAAAGGGCAGCCAAGUCGCGAGACGGAGCAAAUCCCAUCAAACGCCGGUUCUAAGUUCGGAUAGCAGGCUGAAACUCGCCUGCUUGAAGCUGGAA
This 547-nucleotide ribosomal RNA is filed under the name uncultured bacterium. RNAcentral's name for it is "bacterial SSU rRNA". It matches the Rfam family "Bacterial small subunit ribosomal RNA", at positions 775 to 1331 of the family's 1533-position model. The record is from RNAcentral.